RNAcentral lists this ribosomal RNA (444 nucleotides) under uncultured bacterium. Its description in RNAcentral is "bacterial SSU rRNA". It matches the Rfam family "Bacterial small subunit ribosomal RNA", at positions 331 to 792 of the family's 1533-position model. The record is from RNAcentral.
CCAGACUCCUACGGGAGGCAGCAGUAGGGAAUAUUGCUCAAUGGGGGAAACCCUGAAGCAGCAACGCCGCGUGGAGGAUGAAGGUUUUCGGAUUGUAAACUCCUUUUGUUAGAGAAGAUAAUGACGGUAUCUAACGAAUAAGCACCGGCUAACUCCGUGCCAGCAGCCGCGGUAAUACGGAGGGUGCAAGCGUUACUCGGAAUCACUGGGCGUAAAGAGCGCGUAGGCGGGAUAGCAAGUCAGAUGUGAAAUCCUAUGGCUUAACCAUAGAACUGCAUUUGAAACUGUUAUUCUAGAGUAUGGGAGAGGUAGGUGGAAUUCUUGGUGUAGGGGUAAAAUCCGUAGAGAUCAAGAGGAAUACUCAUUGCGAAGGCGACCUGCUAGAACAUAACUGACGCUGAUGCGCGAAAGCGUGGGGAGCAAACAGGAUUAGAUACCCCAGUA